This 76-nucleotide transfer RNA is filed under the name Clostridia bacterium. RNAcentral describes it as "tRNA-Ala". It matches the Rfam family "tRNA". From Rfam's summary of the family: Transfer RNA (tRNA) molecules are approximately 80 nucleotides in length. Their secondary structure includes four short double-helical elements and three loops (D, anti-codon, and T loops). Further hydrogen bonds mediate the characteristic L-shaped molecular structure. tRNAs have two regions of fundamental functional importance: the anti-codon, which is responsible for specific mRNA codon recognition, and the 3' end, to which the tRNAs corresponding amino acid is attached (by aminoacyl-tRNA synthetases). tRNAs cope with the degeneracy of the genetic code in two manners: having more than one tRNA (with a specific anti-codon) for a particular amino acid; and 'wobble' base-pairing, i.e. permitting non-standard base-pairing at the 3rd anti-codon position. Lineage: Bacteria; Bacillati; Bacillota; Clostridia. The record is from RNAcentral.
GGGGGUAUAGCUCAGCUGGGAGAGCGCUACACUGGCAGUGUAGAGGUCAGCGGUUCGAGCCCGCUUAUCUCCACCA